Mauremys reevesii (Reeves's turtle) is the source of this 241-nucleotide long non-coding RNA. RefSeq lists it as uncharacterized. Lineage: Eukaryota; Metazoa; Chordata; Testudines; Geoemydidae. The transcript is spliced from 2 exons. The record is from RefSeq and is a predicted model, not a curated record.
CGGGACCCCCCCGCCCCCCCAGCGCCACUUCUGCGCCGUCUGCGGCCUCCCCUCCCACUACACCUGCGUGAGCUGCGGGGCCCGGUACUGCUGCGUGCGGUGCCUGGGCACCCACCAGGAGACCCGGUGCCUGAAGUGGACGGUUUAGCUCUGCCCGGGUGGGCCCCCAAGCCUGGGGGCCCCCAAUCCUGCUGUUUUGGGGAGCACUGGAGCUGCCUGUCAAUAAACACUCCUUCCCCGA